AUGUCGCGGUUGGCGUCGGCGCUGCUUGCCCUGGCGACGGCGGCCGCGGUGGCGGUGGCGGUGGCGGCGCGGCCGGCGGUGGACGUGACCGCGACGGUGGCCUUCGGGGACGGCUACACGCCGCUCUUCGGCUUCGACAACAUCCUCCGCUCCGCCGACGACCGCACCGUCAGCCUCCUCCUCGACCGCACCACCGGGUCGGGGUUCAUCUCGUCGGCCAUGUACGAGCACGGCUUCUUCAGCGCGUCCAUCAAGCUGCCGUCCGACUACACGGCGGGGGUGGUGGUGGCCUUCUACACGUCCAACGGCGACGUGUUCCCCAAGACGCACGACGAGCUGGACUUCGAGUUCCUGGGCAACAUCCGGGGCAAGCCGUGGCGGAUGCAGACCAACAUGUACGGCAACGGCAGCGUCAGCCGGGGCCGGGAGGAGCGCUACGUGCUGCCCUUCGACCCCACCACCGAGUUCCACCGCUACUCCAUCCUCUGGGCGCGAGACGCCGUCGUCUUCUACGUCGACGACGUGCCCGUGCGCCACCUGCGCCGCGCCCGCGCCGGCCGCGACUUCCCGGCCAAGCCCAUGGCGCUCUACGCCACCGUCUGGGACGCCUCCAACUGGGCCACCUCCGGCGGCCGCUACCGCGUCAACUACCACUACGGGCCCUUCGUCGCCUCCUUCACCGACCUCGCCCUCACCGGCUGCUCCUCCCCCACGGAAGAAGGCUGCGCCGACGCGCUGGCCGCCUCCGACCCCGCCGUCAUGACGCUCGCCAAGCAGCAGGCCAUGCGCCAGUUCAGGGAGCGCAACAUGGUCUACUCCUACUGCUACGACACCAGGCGCUACCCCGUGCCCUUCCCGGAGUGCGACCUCGUCGAGUCGGAGCGGAGCAGGUUCAAGGACAGCGGCCACCGGCUCGCGCUCAGGCGCCGCCGCGUCGGCCGCCGGCCGCCCAACAAGGCCGACAUGUAG
Molecule: ribosomal RNA, 969 nt
Filed under: Triticum aestivum (bread wheat)
Lineage: Eukaryota; Viridiplantae; Streptophyta; Magnoliopsida; Poales; Poaceae
Description: partial small subunit ribosomal RNA
Source: RNAcentral